UAAAGAUUAAAAUGUUUUUGACAAUCAAUCAGAAAACCAAACAUGCAAAUGAGUACAAAGGAUUACAAAAAUAAAAAUCAACAAAGAACUAAGUUCUGAAAGAGCUUUCAUAAACAUUGUCAAAUCCAAAGGAAGAAUCUCGAAAUGAUUGUCAGGCUAGCCAAAACAACCUUUAACUGUCUCUGUUAGGAUCAAAAAGUGGAGUUGA
Molecule: unclassified non-coding RNA, 208 nt
Filed under: Hevea brasiliensis (rubber tree)
Lineage: Eukaryota; Viridiplantae; Streptophyta; Magnoliopsida; Malpighiales; Euphorbiaceae
Source: RNAcentral